CUCGGAGAAGAUUAAUUACAAUGCAGUCAGUGGCGAACGGGUGAGUAACACGUGGGAAACCUACUCUUAGCAGGGGAUAACAUUUGGAAACAGAUGCUAAUACCGUAUAACAAUUAGAACCGCAUGGUUCAGUUUAAAAGAUGGUUCUGCUAUCACUAAGAGAUGGUCCCGCGGCGUAUUAGCUAGAUGGUGAGGUAAUGGCUCACCCAUGGCAAUGAUACGUAGCCGAGUUGAGAGACUGAUCGGCCACAUUGGGACUGAGACACGGCCCAAACUCCUACGGGAGGCAGCAGUAGGGAAUCUUCCACAAUGGACGAAAGUCUGAUGGAGCAACGCCGCGUGUGUGAUGAAGGCUUUCGGGUCGUAAAACACUGUUAUAAGAGAAGAACGUCAGUGAGAGUAACUGUUCAUUGAGUGACGGUAUCUUAUCAGAAAGGGACGGCUAAAUACGUG
This 453-nucleotide ribosomal RNA is filed under the name uncultured bacterium. Its description in RNAcentral is "bacterial SSU rRNA". It matches the Rfam family "Bacterial small subunit ribosomal RNA", at positions 65 to 507 of the family's 1533-position model. The record is from RNAcentral.